UGAAAUGGAGAUUGGGAAGACUUUCAAAAAGCAAGCACAAGAGGUCUCUAUAGUGUGAAACAGUCACUUCUUGGCUGAGGUACACAGCCCCUGCUUCUGUUGUAAAUCCAAGGAGUUUCUGCUAAAGGUAGAAGAAAAGGAUUAUGAGAUAAGAAUCUAGUUUCACCUUCACUAACGGCAGGAAGACAUUCUUCACUUUGGGCAUUGCUGCUGCUGUUGUUUGCUGCUAUUGUUUGCCCCAACAAGAUGUUCUAUUAUGAUCUCAUCAAGACUGAUAAAUAUUUUUAUAAACAAUUGAACCAAAGCAAUGAGUUAAAUAAGUAUUAUGAAGUAAUUUAAAAUGGGAAGUACCAAUAUUUAAUUCAUAUC
This is a long non-coding RNA of Fukomys damarensis (Damara mole-rat), 369 nucleotides long. RefSeq lists it as uncharacterized. Lineage: Eukaryota; Metazoa; Chordata; Mammalia; Rodentia; Bathyergidae. The transcript has 3 exons. The record is from RefSeq and is a predicted model, not a curated record.